RNAcentral lists this ribosomal RNA (1200 nucleotides) under Triticum aestivum (bread wheat). Its description in RNAcentral is "partial small subunit ribosomal RNA". The record is from RNAcentral. Lineage: Eukaryota; Viridiplantae; Streptophyta; Magnoliopsida; Poales; Poaceae.
AUGCAGGAUAAAAACAUGCCGCUGAACCUCAUACCUGCCGCUGGAAUGAAGUUAACCACAUACAACAAAGCAUGGGACUUCUACAACAGUUAUGCAAGAUAUGCAGGGUUUGGCAUACGCAAGAGGGCAAAACACAAGACAAAUGCCUACAUUGUCUACUCAAGAGAAGGGGCGCACAAGCAGACCGUGUCAGAUUAUGACCGGAAACGUGAGAAGACAUCAAAAAGGAUUGGCUGCAAGGCCAAAAUAAGAGUCAAAAAGAGGAAGGAUGACAAAUUUGUGAUAGAAAUGGUUGAACUAAAUCACAAUCAUAAGAUGCUGGAAAGCCCCGGGAUGCUUUUGCACAUGCGCUCGCACAAAAGAGACGAUCCUUUCAUUGACCAGUUGGUGAAGGACAUGCAGCUGGACAACCACACACACGCACAGAUGAUGUCAACGCUGUCGCAUAUGUCCGGUGGUCUGCAGUACAUGGGACAUACUAGCCGUGACUGGGUAAACAAGAAACGGAAGUUUGCCAGAGAAGAGUCCCAAGAUGACGUCAAAAAACUUCUGGAUUUCUUCGAGAAGAUGCAAAAGAUAAACCCAGAGUUCUUCUAUGAUUAUGACGUUGAUGCAGAUAACCGUGUAAGAAAUGUCUUUUGGGCCAACGCAAGUUGCAAAGGAUCGUAUGAAGAUUUGGGAGACUGCGUUACAUUUGACACGACAUGUAAAACUAACAAAUUUCACAUGCCGCUGGGAGUCUUCGUGGGAGUGAACCAUCAUCUACAAAGUACCAUAUUUGUUGUCGCCCUUGUGCGAGAUGAAACAAUACCGUCGUUCGAGUGGGUUUUCAACACAUUCCUGAGGUGUAUGAACAACAAGCCGCCAAUCUGCAUGCUCACAGACCAAUGUUCUUCGAUGAAGGCAAUUAAAACUAUCCUCCCAGAUACAUUACAUAGGUUGUGUAGGUGGCAUAUCAUGAAGAAGUACAAAGACCACCUUGCCUUGCUGUAUAAGGCGCACGAGAGACUAAAGGAUGACCUCAAUGUGGUGCUGAACCACCCACUAAUGCCACCAGAAUUUGAACGGGCAUGGAAGGACCUCAUUCGGAAAUACAACUUGCAAAACGACAAAGUGAUGAAUUCGCUGUGGGAUGACAUGCACGAGUGGAUCUCGGCUUACUACAAGGAAAUUUUCUGUGCUCGGAUGACUUCCACGUAG